RNAcentral lists this ribosomal RNA (326 nucleotides) under uncultured eukaryote. Its description in RNAcentral is "partial 18S ribosomal RNA". It matches the Rfam family "Eukaryotic small subunit ribosomal RNA", at positions 1470 to 1796 of the family's 1831-position model. The record is from RNAcentral.
CCCUUAGAUGUUCUGGGCAGCACGCGCGCUACACUGAAGGAAGCAGCGUGUUAGAGUACCUGGCUUGGAAGAGCUGGGUAAUCCGGUGAAUGUCCUUCGUGAUUGGGAUAGGCACUUGUAAUUAUUUGCCUCGAACGAGGAAUACCUAGUAAGUGCGAGUCAUCAGCUUGCGCUGACUACGUCCCUGCCCCUUGUACACACCGCCCGUCGCUCCUACCGAUCGAAGAGUUAGGUGAAUUGUUUUGAUCGAUAAGAUUUGACUAUGGUCAACUCUCGUUGUGAAAUUCUGUGAAUCUGACUGUUUAGAGGAAGGAAAAGUCGUAACA